RNAcentral lists this long non-coding RNA (947 nucleotides) under Homo sapiens (human). RNAcentral describes it as "HSALNT0094374". Lineage: Eukaryota; Metazoa; Chordata; Mammalia; Primates; Hominidae. The record is from RNAcentral.
UGACCAAGUGACCUGUUAAAAGGCUGAAGGCACACUUUGAAGGCAGGUCCAAAGGGCUUCUUCGAAUGGGUCCAUGAGGAUGAUCAGCUUGAGGCCUGGAGUCUCCUUCCUCUCCACAUGCUCUAGCAGAAGCACAGCCUUCUGAGGUUUGUCCACAAUCACGGUGCUGAUGUCCGCUGCAGGGGGCCAUCAAGGAGAGUCAGGCCAUGUGGGCCCAGGUCAUGAGUGCAGGCAGCAUGUGCCAGGCAGCACAUGCCAGGCAGCACUUCCAUGGUCUGUGUGCCCAUAGCUUAUGUGUAAAUAAAUACAUAAGACAGGCCUCGUGUACAGAGGAAUUUGCCGUGGGUCCUGGGCGGAACCAAGGGCAGAAGGCCAUGGAACCUCCUCAAGCAGAGUCCAAGCUCCCCUUUGUUCCAGGCUCUGCCCCCAUCAUCCCAGGUCUGUUUGAGAUAUUUACCACCCCCUGCAUCUGUGCCAAGCUGUCAUGAACUUCAGAGGGCUGUACCCUGUGUGGAGGCUGUUGCAGAGGCUCCUUCUUGGCAGCUGAGCCCUGUGGAAGGAACCUUCGUGUGAAGUCUGACCAGGGACAGCUUGACUCAGGAAGCCAACUCAGGAGCCACAGUCCUUCUGGACCAGGCCUGUACCAGAGAAUUCUGUAACUCCUGGAUUUCAUGUCUAAACUGCCCCAAGGACAGUUCCAUGGCCUGCAUGAGCCUGUUCCUCAGGUCUUUCCUCCCCAUUGGCUCAAGGGGCAGCUGUUUGUAGAGCUGGGUGGGGUGUGGAUGGAGCAUGGCUGGGGUGGCCAGUGCUGAUGAGGGGCAGAGCCAGGGUGGGAAGAGGAGUGGUGGCAUAGCCCAAGGGUCUCUGUUUUUUCUUUUGUCCUGGGCCCUACAAACAGUGAAAGCAGGACUAUUCCAUGGCAGCCAACCCCUACCCCACGAAUCCCU